Molecule: ribosomal RNA, 492 nt
Filed under: uncultured bacterium
Lineage: Bacteria
Description: partial 16S ribosomal RNA
Rfam family: Bacterial small subunit ribosomal RNA
Source: RNAcentral
AGUGAACGCUGGCGGUGGGCCUAACACAUGCAAGUCGAACGGCAGCACAGUAAGAGCUUGCUCUUACGGGUGGCGAGUGGCGGACGGGUGAGGAAUACAUCGGAAUCUACUUUUUCGUGGGGGAUAACGUAGGGAAACUUACGCUAAUACCGCAUACGACCUACGGGUGAAAGCAGGGGAUCUUCGGACCUUGCGCGAUUGAAUGAGCCGAUGUCGGAUUAGCUAGUUGGCGGGGUAAAGGCCCACCAAGGCGACGAUCCGUAGCUGGUAUGAGAGGAUGAUCAGCCACACUGGAACUGAGACACGGUCCAGACUCCUACGGGAGGCAGCAGUGGGGAAUAUUGGACAAUGGGCGCAAGCCUGAUCCAGCCAUACCGCGUGGGUGAAGAAGGCCUUCGGGUUGUAAAGCCCUUUUGUUGGGAAAGAAAAGCAGCAGGUUAAUACCCCGCUGUUCUGACGGUACCCAAAGAAUAAGCACCGGCUAACUUCGUG